UGCAGUCGAGCGGGGNNGAGGUAGCUUGCUACCUGACCUAGCGGCGGACGGGUGAGUAAUGCUUAGGAAUCUGCCUAUUAGUGGGGGACAACAUUACCGAAAGGAAUGCUAAUACCGCAUACGCCCUACGGGGGAAAGCAGGGGAUCUUCGGACCUUGCGCUAAUAGAUGAGCCUAAGUCAGAUUAGCUAGUUGGUGGGGUAAAGGCCUACCAAGGCGACGAUCUGUAGCGGGUCUGAGAGGAUGAUCCGCCACACUGGGACUGAGACACGGCCCAGACUCCUACGGGAGGCAGCAGUGGGGAAUAUUGGACAAUGGGCGAAAGCCUGAUCCAGCCAUGCCGCGUGUGUGAAGAAGGCCUUUUGGUUGUAAAGCACUUUAAGCGAGGAGGAGGCUACCGAGAUUAAUACUCUAGGAUAGUGGACGUUACUCGCAGAAUAAGCACCGGCUAACUCUGUGCCAGCAGCCGCGGUAAUACAGAGGGUGCGAGCGUUAAUCGGAUUUACUGGGCGUAAAGCGUGCGUAGGCGGCUUUUUAAGUCGGAUGUGAAAUCCCUGAGCUUAACUUAGGAAUUGCAUUCGAUACUGGGAAGCUAGAGUAUGGGAGAGGAUGGUAGAAUUCCAGGUGUAGCGGUGAAAUGCGUAGAGAUCUGGAGGAAUACCGAUGGCGAAGGCAGCCAUCUGGCCUAAUACUGACGCUGAGGUACGAAAGCAUGGGGAGCAAACAGGAUUAGAUACCCUGGUAGUCCAUGCCGUAAACGAUGUCUACUAGCCGUUGGGGCCUUUGAGGCUUUAGUGGCGCAGCUAACGCGAUAAGUAGACCGCCUGGGGGAGUACGGUCGCAAGACUAAAACUCAAAUGAAUUGACGGGGGCCCGCACAAGCGGUGGAGCCAGGUGGUUUAAUUCGAUGCAACGCGAAGAACCUUACCUGGUCUUGACAUAGUAAGAACUUUCAGAAGAUGGAUUGGUGCCUUCGGGAACUUACAUACAGGUGCUGCAUGGCUGUCGUCAGCUCGGGUCGUGAANNUUUGGGUUAAGUCCCGCAACGAGCGCAACCUUUUCCUAUUUGCCNCGGGUUAAGCCGGGAACUUAAGGAACUGCCGUGACAANUGGAGGAAGGCGGGGNCAAAUCNNGUCUUNUGGGCCUUANAACAGGGGUNCACCUNNUNNAAGGUGUGGUAAAAAGGGUGUUCCNUCNGNUGGGUGCNAUNCAAAACCNNCNGUUUNCCGAGGGNNUUNGC
This 1240-nucleotide ribosomal RNA is filed under the name Acinetobacter johnsonii. Its description in RNAcentral is "partial 16S ribosomal RNA". It matches the Rfam family "Bacterial small subunit ribosomal RNA", at positions 56 to 1273 of the family's 1533-position model. The record is from RNAcentral. Lineage: Bacteria; Pseudomonadati; Pseudomonadota; Gammaproteobacteria; Moraxellales; Moraxellaceae.